RNAcentral lists this ribosomal RNA (620 nucleotides) under uncultured bacterium. RNAcentral describes it as "bacterial SSU rRNA". The stretch from base 1 to 538 matches the Rfam family "Bacterial small subunit ribosomal RNA", at positions 338 to 873 of the family's 1533-position model. The record is from RNAcentral.
CCUACGGGAGGCAGCAGUGGGGAAUAUUGGACAAUGGGCGCAAGCCUGAUCCAGCAAUGCCGCGUGUGUGAAGAAGGCCUGCGGGUUGUAAAGCACUUUCGGUUGGGAAGAAGUUUGGCUUGUUAAUAUCAAACCAAAUUGACAUUACCUUCAGAAGAAGCACCGGCUAACUCCGUGCCAGCAGCCGCGGUAAUACGGAGGGUGCGAGCGUUAAUCGGAAUUACUGGGCGUAAAGCGCGCGUAGGUGGUUGGGUAAGUCGGAUGUGAAAGCCCUGGGCUUAACCUAGGAACGGCACUCGAUACUGCCCGACUAGAGUAUGGUAGAGGAAAGCGGAAUUCCCGGUGUAGCGGUGAAAUGCGUAGAUAUCGGGAGGAACAUCAGUGGCGAAGGCGGCUUUCUGGACCAAUACUGACACUGAGGCGCGAAAGCGUGGGUAGCAAACAGGAUUAGAUACCCUGGUAGUCCACGCCCUAAACGAUGUCAACUAGCCGUUAGGUUCAUUUAGAGAUAGUGUGCNNACGACGAGAGUAGUACGCCGCGGNGGACGGCGGCGAACGUAAACGUUAAAGUUAAGUUAAGUAGUUAGCGUGNGAGNGCGACGACGACGACGAGGAGGAGG